RNAcentral lists this unclassified non-coding RNA (330 nucleotides) under Hevea brasiliensis (rubber tree). The record is from RNAcentral. Lineage: Eukaryota; Viridiplantae; Streptophyta; Magnoliopsida; Malpighiales; Euphorbiaceae.
UGAGAAAUGGAGGAAGCAACAGAUGCUGGAGCUGGAGGUGUAUUCGAAGAGAUUGGAACUUGUUCAGGAUCAGGUGAAAGCACAAUUGGAGGAGCUGAGAUCAAUGGGAAGUAACACUUGAAAAUGUUGCUUUUCUAAUGUAUACAACUUAUUGAAAUAAUUCUAGUUGAUAAUUUUACCCCAGGAUGUUAAUGACAGUGGAUGGUUUAGGUAAUGUAGUAGGCUUUUGGUUGCUAAAUAAUGACUUCUAAUAUUAGUUUUCAGUCAGCUGCCUGUUUGCAGACUUCGUUGCAACAUAGAUGUUUCGUCUAUUUUGUAAAUAGAAAUGGA